Molecule: ribosomal RNA, 264 nt
Filed under: Triticum aestivum (bread wheat)
Lineage: Eukaryota; Viridiplantae; Streptophyta; Magnoliopsida; Poales; Poaceae
Description: partial small subunit ribosomal RNA
Source: RNAcentral
AUGAAUUGCAUGAGCUGGAACCGUCGAGGGCUUGGGAACCCUGAGACAGUUCGCGAGCUUCGCAAGAUUGUGAAGCAUGAAGGUCUCGCCCUUCUCUUCGUGAUGGAAACGAAUAUUAGGGGGAAACGAGUGGAAAGUUUGCAGCCCCUCUUGGGGUUUGCCAGUAGUUUUGCUGUUGAUAGCGAUGGAUUGAGUGGUGGCAUUGGUUUUUUUGUCAUAGGAUGUUCAUGUCGAACUGAAGAAUUGCAGCAAAGCUCACAUUGA